This 1122-nucleotide ribosomal RNA is filed under the name Triticum aestivum (bread wheat). RNAcentral's name for it is "partial small subunit ribosomal RNA". The record is from RNAcentral. Lineage: Eukaryota; Viridiplantae; Streptophyta; Magnoliopsida; Poales; Poaceae.
AUGAAGGAGUGGUGUCGUAUGGGCCGGCCCAUGCUCUCGUGGGUCAGGUCUCAGGAGCAUGUGGUUGAGUCUGCAUCCGGAGAAACGCUGCAGCAGCCGGAUGUCUCGCCAUCAAACAACUUGGUUGAUGUUACAACAUUGAAGGGAUUGUCCAUCACUGCCACGUCCUCGUCCUCUCAGCGCGGCACCAUUUGGGUCCGAUACCAGUGUGAUUGGGGGCUCACAUUUUACACCAGGAUCGAUCUUCAUGGAUAUUUCCACACAUAUCCUCAUGUGGGUGGGCCAUUUCAGAGCUUAGAGCAAGUUAACAAUGCCAUUGAUCGCUAUCUUCAUGACCGUCGGGAUCCAAUAAUGUGCGAGGAGCGACCUGAGUUCUAUGAAGUGGGUAAGGCUAGUGUUGAGAGGGGUAUACGGGACUCUCUUUUCUGGCCUGAUGGCUCAAAGAAGAUGUACGUGAAAUCUGAGCCGGUUGAUGAAAGCCGUUGCUGGAUGCUCCAGCUGGUUCAAGCUUUGGUGGACAAGUAUAACGAGGAUCACAAUCUUUUCAAGGAUCUUGCGUUUGAAGUUAAAGAUGUUGUGUGCUACGAAGUAAUAUAUGAGGGCAACUGCCUCUACUACCAUAUUAAUUUCACUACAAGGACCAAAGGAGCAAAGACCGCCGACAAUCUAUUCUUUUCUGAAGUCAAACGUAUGCCAGGAGAAGACAAAAAAUUGGUGGUCAGCUGUACCUGCAUGGUUGAUCCUUCUGAUAACGGUCAAUGCUACGGCUGUGAAAGUAAUAUGAAGCACCCCAAUGCUGAUGCAUAUGCUGGUGGUCACUCAAAGGUUUGCAACUUGAAGGGAGAAUGUCUUGGUCCUAAUAUAGCGGUCGCAGAGACUAUGGAUGACUGGAAGGCUGAGGAAGCGAGGGUAAGACAAAUGUUCAAGGGCCUUGACGAUCCAACUGUUGUGGCGCGACUCAUGGAACCACCCAAGUUGAACUUCGGAGCAACCAAGGCCACCGAUGAGGAAGUAGAACGUUUUAUGAAUUCGAUCAUGGGACCAUGCGAUCCUAACCUUUGCACCACUUAUGGCAUCCUCGAUGCUAGCGCCGUAGAAAGAUUUAGAGUGGCGCUAAUGUAA